Molecule: ribosomal RNA, 429 nt
Filed under: bacterium
Lineage: Bacteria
Description: partial 16S ribosomal RNA
Rfam family: Bacterial small subunit ribosomal RNA
Source: RNAcentral
UAGGGAAUCUUCGGCAAUGGGGGCAACCCUGACCGAGCAACGCCGCGUGAGUGAAGAAGGUUUUCGGAUCGUAAAGCUCUGUUGUAAGAGAAGAACGUGUGUGAGAGUGGAAAGUUCACACAGUGACGGUAACUUACCAGAAAGGGACGGCUAACUACGUGCCAGCAGCCGCGGUAAUACGUAGGUCCCGAGCGUUGUCCGGAUUUAUUGGGCGUAAAGCGAGAGCAGGCGGUUUAAUAAGUCUGAAGUUAAAGGCAGUGGCUUAACCAUUGUUCGCUUUGGAAACUGUUAAACUUGAGUGCAGAAGGGGAGAGUGGAAUUCCAUGUGUAGCGGUGAAAUGCGUAGAUAUAUGGAGGAACACCGGUGGCGAAAGCGGCUCUCUGGUCUGUAACUGACGCUGAGGCUCGAAAGCGUGGGGAGCAAACAGG